AGGGCUGUAGCUCAGUGGUAUAGCAUCUGUCUUGGAUGUUGAAGGUCCCAAGUUCAAAUCCUGGCACCUCCA
This is a non-coding RNA of Podarcis lilfordi (Lilford's wall lizard), 72 nucleotides long. The record is from the annotation of a GenBank genome assembly. Lineage: Eukaryota; Metazoa; Chordata; Lepidosauria; Squamata; Lacertidae.